Molecule: ribosomal RNA, 253 nt
Filed under: uncultured bacterium
Lineage: Bacteria
Description: partial 16S ribosomal RNA
Rfam family: Bacterial small subunit ribosomal RNA
Source: RNAcentral
UACGUAGGGGGCAAGCGUUGUUCGGAAUUACUGGGCGUAAAGGGCGCGUAGGCGGCCAUCUAAGUCAGACGUGAAAUCCCCCGGCUUAACCUGGGAACUGCGUCUGAUACUGGACGGCUUGAGUAUGGGAGAGGGAUGUAGAAUUCCAGGUGUAGCGGUGAAAUGCGUAGAUAUCUGGAGGAAUACCGGUGGCGAAGGCGGCAUCCUGGACCAUUACUGACGCUGAGGCGCGAAAGCUAGGGGAGCAAACGGG